RNAcentral lists this ribosomal RNA (380 nucleotides) under uncultured cyanobacterium. Its description in RNAcentral is "bacterial SSU rRNA". It matches the Rfam family "Bacterial small subunit ribosomal RNA", at positions 376 to 770 of the family's 1533-position model. The record is from RNAcentral. Lineage: Bacteria; Bacillati; Cyanobacteriota.
CGCAAGCCUGACGGAGCAAGACCGCGUGGGGGAGGAAUGCCUUAGGGUUGUAAACCCCUUUUAUCUGGGAAGAACAAAAUGACGGUACCAAAGGAAUCAGCCUCGGCUAACUCCGUGCCAGCAGCCGCGGUAAUACGGAGGAGGCAAGCGUUAUCCGGAAUGAUUGGGCGUAAAGCGUCCGCAGGUGGCAAUGUAAGUCUGCUGUCAAAGCACGGGGCUUAACUCCGUAAAGGCAGUGGAGACUGAAUAGCUAGAGUGCCGUAGGGGUAGAGGGAAUUCCCGGUGUAGCGGUGAAAUGCGUAGAGAUCGGGAAGAACAUCGGUGGCGAAAGCGCUCUACUGGACGGCAACUGACACUCAGGGACGAAAGCUAGGGGAGCG